This is a long non-coding RNA of Alosa sapidissima (American shad), 110 nucleotides long. RefSeq lists it as uncharacterized. The record is from RefSeq and is a predicted model, not a curated record. The transcript is spliced from 3 exons. NCBI's taxonomy places the organism in Eukaryota, Metazoa, Chordata, Actinopteri, Clupeiformes, Clupeidae.
ACAUAGUGUGAAAAUGAGAUGCAGUGUUUUCCACAGAAUUUAUCUGUAUUUGUGGUGGUAGGUUUGCAGAAUUAACUUGAAUGCAACAGUUUUUAACAAAUGAGUGCAGU